Molecule: long non-coding RNA, 1472 nt
Organism: Bos taurus (domestic cattle)
Lineage: Eukaryota; Metazoa; Chordata; Mammalia; Artiodactyla; Bovidae
Source: Ensembl
GGGUUGCCAUUUCCUCCUCCAGGGGAUCUUCCCAACCCAGGGAUUGAAACUGCAUCUCCUGCACUGGCAGGCAGGUUCUUUACCACUGAGCCACCAGGGAAGCCUGAGCCUACUUGGAGACAGCUUGUUAAAUCAGUAAAUUGGUGUCAAGUGAAACCAUGAAUAAGGGAUAAGAGUUUUCAGAGUCAAUGUGGGUUCUAAAUGAAGGGCAUGUGGAAUUAACGGCAGGGCUGACAGCACUUAGGGAUGUCCUGUGUAGGCCAAGAGCCUCCCUGUUUGCUUCGUGGGGACUGGAUCCACCAGGCAGAGCCCAUUAGCGCCGACUGAGCACACAGCGGUGCUGAGGGACCACGCUCACUCUGUCUCUCUGGAUCCCUCUCACAGACAUCCAAAGCCCAGGAGAACGGAUCCUCUCUUUCAGUCUCGGAGGGCCAGUCCCUGCGCCUGGUCUGCGUCGUUGACAGCAACCCCCCCGCCAGGAUCAGCUGGGCCCGGGGGAGCCUGACCCUCAGCGCCUCGCCGCCCAGCCACCCAGAGAUGCUGGAGCUGCCGCGGGUGCUCACAGGAGACGAAGGGGAGUUCACCUGCCGAGCUCAGCACGCCCUCGGCUCCCAGCACGUCUCCCUGAGGCUCUCGCUGCAGAGGCGGUCAGCGCGCCCGGCAGAGGCGGUCCUGGUAGCCAUCUGGGAAGUGGCUGUCAAGACCCUGCUCCUCCUCCUCUUUCUCCUGGGCCUCCUAGUGAGGUGCUGCACAAGGACUUCAGCCAGGCCAGCAGGGGGCGUGUCAGAGGCAAAGGAAACCCCACCUUUAACCCCUCAGCUCAUCUUGAAGCCCAUCUCCUCCCGGUCCUGACCCUGGUCCUUCCAGCAGCCUCAUCUCUUCCCUGAGUCGCUGAACCCAUGCAUCUCCUGCUUCCUCUCGCUGGGAAGCACGGCCCUCGGGUCAGAGGACUCACCAGAGACGGUUCCGUCCACUGCCCGCACAGUCGGAGCAGCUCUGUUUCCUCCCCACGCAGGGGAUGGAGCGGCCCACACCACAGGCUGGAUUCUAAGUCCUGGCGGGCUCUGCCCUGCUGACUCUCCACCCAGAGUUUCUGUCUGGGAUGAUGAAAGCAUUCUGGAAAUGGACAGUGGUGAUGGUUUCACUAACAUGGUGAUGUACUUACUGCCACUCAGGUGUAACACAUGGUUAUUUAGUUGCUGAGUCAUGUCCAUUUUCUUCAACGCCAUGGAUUGUAGCCCGCCAGGCUCCUCAGCCCAUGGGUUUUCCCCAGCCAAGAAUGCUGCAGUGGGUUGCCAUGUCCUUCUCCAGGGGAUCGUCCCCACCCAGAAACUGAACCUGAGUUUCCUGCUUGGCAGGCAGAUUCUUUACCAUUGAGCUACCUGGGAAGCCCUAAAGUGUACUGUAUACAAUGUUAAAAAUAAUUUUUAUUUUAUGAGUAUUUUACUGAAAUAAAGCAAAAGGAAUGAGGA